RNAcentral lists this ribosomal RNA (700 nucleotides) under uncultured Paracoccus sp. RNAcentral's name for it is "bacterial SSU rRNA". It matches the Rfam family "Bacterial small subunit ribosomal RNA", at positions 28 to 774 of the family's 1533-position model. Lineage: Bacteria; Pseudomonadati; Pseudomonadota; Alphaproteobacteria; Rhodobacterales; Paracoccaceae. The record is from RNAcentral.
AACGAACGCUGGCGGCAGGCUUAACACAUGCAAGUCGAGCGAGACCUUCGGGUCUAGCGGCGGACGGGUGAGUAACGCGUGGGAACGUGCCCUUCUCUACGGAAUAGCCCCGGGAAACUGGGAGUAAUACCGUAUACGCCCUUUGGGGGUAAGAUUUAUCGGAGAAGGAUCGGCCCGCGUUGGAUUAGGUAGUUGGUGGGGUAAUGGCCCACCAAGCCGACGAUCCAUAGCUGGUUUGAGAGGAUGAUCAGCCACACUGGGACUGAGACACGGCCCAGACUCCUACGGGAGGCAGCAGUGGGGAAUCUUAGACAAUGGGGGCAACCCUGAUCUAGCCAUGCCGCGUGAGUGAUGAAGGCCUUAGGGUUGUAAAGCUCUUUCAGCUGGGAAGAUAAUGACGGUACCAGCAGAAGAAGCCCCGGCUAACUCCGUGCCAGCAGCCGCGGUAAUACGGAGGGGGCUAGCGUUGUUCGGAAUUACUGGGCGUAAAGCGCACGUAGGCGGACUGGAAAGUCAGAGGUGAAAUCCCAGGGCUCAACCUUGGAACUGCCUUUGAAACUAUCAGUCUGGAGUUCGAGAGAGGUGAGUGGAAUUCCGAGUGUAGAGGUGAAAUUCGUAGAUAUUCGGAGGAACACCAGUGGCGAAGGCGGCUCACUGGCUCGAUACUGACGCUGAGGUGCGAAAGCGUGGGGAGCAAACA